RNAcentral lists this ribosomal RNA (466 nucleotides) under uncultured bacterium. RNAcentral's name for it is "partial 16S ribosomal RNA". It matches the Rfam family "Bacterial small subunit ribosomal RNA", at positions 28 to 507 of the family's 1533-position model. The record is from RNAcentral.
GACGAACGCUGGCGGUGUGCUUAACACAUGCAAGUCGAACGGUAAGGCCCUUUCGGGGGUCCACGAGUGGCGCACGGGUGAGUAACACGUGAGUAACCUGCCCUCAUCUCUGGGAUAACAGUCGGAAACGGUUGCUAAUACUGGAUAUGAGCUUGCAAGGCAUCUUGUGGGUUGGAAAGAUUUUUUUGGUUGGGGAUGGACUCGCGGCCUAUCAGCUUGUUGGUGAGGUAGUGGCUCACCAAGGCGUCGACGGGUAGCCGGCCUGAGAGGGCGACCGGCCACAUUGGGACUGAGAUACGGCCCAAACGCCUACGGGAGGCAGCAGUGGGGAAUAUUGCACAAUGGACGGAAGUCUGAUGCAGCAACGCCGCGGGCGGGAUGACGGCCUUCGGGUUGUAAACCGCUUUCAAUUGUGACGAAGCUUUUUGUGACGGUAGCAGUAGAAGAAGCACCGGCUAACUACGUG